UACGAAGGGUGCAAGCGUUACUCGGAAUUACUGGGCGUAAAGCGUGCGUAGGUGGUGAGUUAAGUCUGUCGUGAAAGCCCCGGGCUCAACCUGGGAAUGGCGAUGGAUACUGGCUCGCUAGAGUGCGGUAGAGGAGACUGGAAUUCCCGGUGUAGCAGUGAAAUGCGUAGAUAUCGGGAGGAAUACCGAUGGCGAAGGCAGGUCUCUGGGCUGACACUGACGCUCAUGCACGAAAGCGUGGGGAGCAAACAGG
This 253-nucleotide ribosomal RNA is filed under the name uncultured bacterium. Its description in RNAcentral is "partial 16S ribosomal RNA". It matches the Rfam family "Bacterial small subunit ribosomal RNA", at positions 524 to 776 of the family's 1533-position model. The record is from RNAcentral.